AUUUCACGGCAGCUCAGGCUGAAUGAGAUUGAUGCCAAAAGCCUCUCACUGCCGCGUUGGAAAUGUCCUCUGCACUCCAUAAACUGAGUAGAUUAAACUAAGAAAAAGAGUAGUGAAGGAAAAAAAAUGUAAAAGCAGAUUGAGAUGGACUGCUACUCUUCUUUUGCGACCCCAGAGCUUAAUUUGGAAUGUUUGCCUCCAAUUUAAAUUACUGAAAUAAAAUCAAAAUCUGCAUUCAAGUCAUUUCAACGUUGAGUUGAAAUUAAGCAGUACAACUGAUUGUUCAAUUGGAGUUGGACAGCAAGUGAAGAUCCAGAAGCCGACACCUCUGGCUGUGCCCACCUCUGCAAGUUUACAAUUAUUGUAAAGCUUUUAAAAUUGAACAAUAAAGAUUCAGAGAAAUA
Molecule: non-coding RNA, 404 nt
Organism: Chiloscyllium plagiosum (whitespotted bambooshark)
Lineage: Eukaryota; Metazoa; Chordata; Chondrichthyes; Orectolobiformes; Hemiscylliidae
Source: RefSeq, a predicted model, not a curated record